Molecule: ribosomal RNA, 585 nt
Filed under: Triticum aestivum (bread wheat)
Lineage: Eukaryota; Viridiplantae; Streptophyta; Magnoliopsida; Poales; Poaceae
Description: partial small subunit ribosomal RNA
Source: RNAcentral
GUCAACUUCCAUGAUUUCUUCAUGAGGACUCUGGCGAAUAUUGCUAUGUCACCAUUUGAGCUGAAGCCUUAUGCAUCAUGGAUUAUGAGAUUCAUCAGGACAAGGGCUUCACUAAAUUACAAAGCUGACACUUUGAACCAUGGCAGCUACUUGCCUCCGAUUGAAGUCCUCAAACGGACAUAUUCCUCAGCUGAUGACAAAGACAAGGCAACUGUUGUGAUAGAUGAAGGCAUUCGUCCAUUGGAUGGUCAAUUUCGCAAGGCUGCAUCCUACUCCACCAAUGAUGACUCUGCCACACAUGAUUCUGCCGCCAAGCAAAAUCCUCAAGCCACAGCACCCAGGGUGAUGACUGAUCGUGAGUUACUCCUCAGUCUUCAUCAGAAGGUUGAUCGCAAUCACAAAUGGGUCAAGCGUCAGUUUGGUUCAAUUCUUCACAACAUGACAUCAACACACAAUGCAAUGAAGAAAAACCAAUACUACCUCCAUGAAACCUUCAACCGUACCUGGGCUGUUCUAUCACAUGUCUACAACGCUGCAGAUCUGAAGAAUAUGGGUCUCAAGGAAGAAUUUGACUGGUCUGCACCU